Molecule: microRNA precursor, 167 nt
Filed under: Pelobates cultripes (western spadefoot toad)
Lineage: Eukaryota; Metazoa; Chordata; Amphibia; Anura; Pelobatidae
Source: RNAcentral
GCAGACACAUUGCAGCCAAUCAGCAGCAGACCCUCCCUCCCAGACCCUUCCACCUCCUGGACAGCAUCCAUUUUACAUUCAUUGUGAAGCUGCAUUCUUAGUGAGCUGUCCAGGAGGUGGGAGGGUCUGGGAGGGAGGGUCUGCUGCUGAUUGGCUGGAAUGUGUCU